Sarcophilus harrisii (Tasmanian devil) is the source of this 1719-nucleotide long non-coding RNA. RefSeq lists it as uncharacterized. The transcript is spliced from 4 exons. NCBI's taxonomy places the organism in Eukaryota, Metazoa, Chordata, Mammalia, Dasyuromorphia, Dasyuridae. The record is from RefSeq and is a predicted model, not a curated record.
GCCAAUUCCUCUUCCCCGUCAUAAAUCUUCAUGGAUUUCUUAAUCUGUUCCCCAUUCCUAUUUGUUCUCCCAAAUUGUUUUUAUCUUUUCUCUAUUUCCUUAAAUAAUUUGACCUCUUAUUUUAUCCCUCUCUCAUAAAAAAUAUAUUUUCUACUUCAGUAAAAUUCUUCCUAAAAAUGUUUGAGUAUUUUAGGUUCUCAGGAAUAGAUUAAUUCAUAGUUUCUCUUGAAUAAAUCCCCAUGGGUUCUUCUUUAUCACACAUAUGUAUCCUUCAUCCCUCAAUGAACUUUAAGCUCAUCAAUAGAAAGGAGCACAAUUUUCAUUUCUCUUGUAUAUUCUAUAUCUUUUGACUUAGACCUUUGCUUAUUGUUGGCCCACAAUAAAUAAUCCUGAUUAUGCAUCACCAUUCUAUGUAUCACUUCAUCUGGACAGAAUUAUGACAGAAGCAUAUUUUUGUGGUAAUUAUAUAGUGGUCAUUACCAGUGCCUCAGAUCGUAUAUCAAUUUCUCUCAGCAAAAAAAGAAUAUAAAUUCCUUGUUAUUUUCACCCCCAAAGAAUCUAUGAGCCCAACAAAUUAUCUCUCUCUGAUGAUGAUUUAAAAAUCACCUGAUGAUGACUUUGCAACAUUCCCUCUUUUGUGUGAAUUCUAAACACUGAGUGUUUCUAUCAAACAAAAAGCAUUUAUUAAGUACCUAAGUUUGUAUUUUAAAAUUACUACCAUCAUACUGAAUGCAUACCAAUCCUUCCAAUCACUCCCUCUUUCCCAGAUUUUUGUGUCUUGGUUCUAGUUUCUUCCCAUAAGUUGAAGAGAGUGAAUUACUGUUUCAAUACAGCAACAUUUUGAAAUGAAUCUAUGAUUUCAUCAAAAUGGUCCAGAUAUUUGGAAUUCAAAAUAUGCACACCUUCUCAUCUUCAUAUAAUAUAUUCAAUGGGUUGUUGCACUAGGAUUCUGGAAAUUCUGCAUUCAAAUCCUGCUUUUGACACUAACUGGUUGUCAAUCAGUCAAUAAAUAUUAAGCAUCUGCCAGGCAAAACUUCUCUAAGCCACAUUCUCCUCAACUCUAAAAUAGGGAUAGCUAAUAGCUAUAACACCUACUUUACAAGAUUUGUGUAAGAUUCAACUGAGAGCUUUGCAAAGAGCUUUGAAUAAUGUGUCACAUCAAUAUUAAUUAUUAUUGUUGGUAUCCUCUCAUAAAUCUUCCAUAAGAAUUACUCAAUAUACUGCUACAGGGAGAAUUGUGCCUCCUGCCAAAUGAGUACUCCUGAUUUUUUUUUCUCUUGGUAUAAAAGUUGAGCCAAUUGCAGAAAAAUUUUUAUCUUGACAGAGACUUUUUUUGUGAGAACUGAGAGCCAUGUCUUUGAUUCACCAUUGCAACAAGAUUGACAGAAGCCAUACCACUAGAGAUCAGAGGUUCUUCCUUAACCUUUUCUGUUUCAUAAACCAUUUUGGCAGCAUGGUGAAGCCUUGGAACUUAUAGAGCCUUCUUAAAAUAAUAUGAGUGCCAUCGGUCAUUCACAAAGAGGCUCUUUAAAGUCUUGGAUUUUGAUGUAAUAGUACAAUGCCAUUCCCAAAUAGGAGCAUACAGAGGACCUUUCCAUGAUUCCUUCUCAGUCUGAAUUUCCUCCAUUCCAACAGCAAAUACUUUUGGCCCAGCACAGAAAAGAUCGUCUUGGUCCUUUGAGCUUUUAUACGGACAGAGAGCAGACUCUAAACCCGAGG